GUCCUUGUAGUUUAAAACAAAAACACGGCACUGAAGAUGCCAAGACGGAUAUUCCUUUUCCCCAGGACA
Molecule: transfer RNA, 69 nt
Filed under: Poicephalus senegalus (Senegal parrot)
Lineage: Eukaryota; Metazoa; Chordata; Aves; Psittaciformes; Psittacidae
Description: tRNA-Phe
Rfam family: tRNA
About the family: Transfer RNA (tRNA) molecules are approximately 80 nucleotides in length. Their secondary structure includes four short double-helical elements and three loops (D, anti-codon, and T loops).
Source: RNAcentral